UUUCACGACACGGCAGUCAGCCCGUCAGAGUGUCGUUUGAAAAUAGUUUUCCAGCAGUUUACAGCCCGGUGCCCGUUGGGCUAUUGAGGAGACAAUAUGUGGAGAUAUUGGUCUCCCAACUAGCGAAAACAAAUGGAAGGGUGUGAUGGGGGAAGUUACGACACCUGCAUAAACGGCAUGACCCUACCUCUUGAGGAGGCACGUCAAAGGAAACAGUUCUCAAGUCGACCUUCCUGUAGGAGUCGGUGCAAGGAAGACUGAAGAAUAUACCUGUGGGAACACCAUGCAACGAUGAACCGCUGUGCCUGUGAGGGAAAGUACGGUGGGUGCGAUUGAAUGGUGGAAAAGUGUUAUUCACCGACCCUUGUGCAGUUUAAGUGCGCAUUCUACAAAACGAUGUACCGUUAAGCAAACCAGAAUUUGAAAUCAAAACUCCUGAAGGUCAAAUAGAGAGUGUUACUGAUGAUGACAGCCACGUCGUUCACCUUUCAAAGCCAUCUCAUAAAAUAUUAAAGGUAUUUCAAAAAUCGUUCAUGGACCACUGAGAUCUACCAAUCGUCUUCCAAUAAUUUCUAAGGUCUUCCAGUGAUUCAGAGGUAUGAGAAACAUUCCAAUGAUCCCCAAAGCAUUUUUAAGGUCAUGACAUGCAAUUUUAUCAAUGAUCUAAAGUGAAUUCUGAAUUUUGUUCGUAAUCUUAAAAGUAUUUCAACAUUUUUGUUAAGUAAUAUGUUUCCGUGCUAUUCGGGAAUUUUAAAGAUUUUUGAGUAUUUUUAGAAUGAUUUUUAUAGUUUUCUUUUUCAAUGUUUUACUAGGUAUUCAAAAUUCAUUCAAUGAGCUU
Long non-coding RNA from Branchiostoma floridae (Florida lancelet), 838 nucleotides. RefSeq lists it as uncharacterized. The transcript has 2 exons. The record is from RefSeq and is a predicted model, not a curated record. Lineage: Eukaryota; Metazoa; Chordata; Leptocardii; Amphioxiformes; Branchiostomatidae.